This is an RNA transcript of Triticum aestivum (bread wheat), 1787 nucleotides long. RefSeq lists it as uncharacterized. NCBI's taxonomy places the organism in Eukaryota, Viridiplantae, Streptophyta, Magnoliopsida, Poales, Poaceae. The transcript is spliced from 9 exons. The record is from RefSeq and is a predicted model, not a curated record.
UCCCUCUCUCUGUCCCCGAUCCAGAUCCUUCCCUCACCCCUCGUCUCGGCCUCUUCCUCACCCCUCGUCUCUGUCCCCGAUCCAGAUCCUUCCCUCGCGCUGUCCUCUCUUCCUUCCUGUCACCGGCGGCGCCCUCUUGCCCUCGCGCUGCGCCUGAACCUUGCUCCUGCUCCCGCUCCCAGCUCUUCUUCCUCCUUCGCUGCAGCUAGGGUUUCGUCUCCCCGAUCCCCAAUCCGCGAAGCUCGGAUCCAGCAGCAACAGCAGCGAUGGCGGCCGCGGGAGAUCCUCUCCAAGGUCAAGCACGUCCAGGCCAAGCCUGCUGGCCGCCCUUGCGGGUGACUGCCUCUGCGGUGACAGCGGCGGCCUCGUUGUCCCCGGAGGCCGCGGCGCCCCUCAAGGCUGACCUGUCACCCUUGGCGCCCGCGCCGCUGAUGCGGGCCCUCCUCCGCCACAUUGCAGAAGCUGGGCGCGCUCGUGUGGGACUAGGUGGUGCACGAGCACCAGGGGAAGAGACUCGUGACCCAUAUCUGGCUCCACGUCGGCGUCGUCCACCUGCUCGCGAACAUGCUCAGCCUCGUGCUCGUCGGGCUCAGGCUCGAGCAGCAGUUCGGAUUCGUGAGAGUCGGCGUCAUCUACCUCGUGUCCGACGUCGGGGGCAGCAUGAUGUCGUCCCUGUUCAUCAGAGACAACAUCUCCGUGGGCGCCUCCGGUGCGCUCUUCGGACUUUCUUAUCGUGCUAAUUGCAAAGUGUUAGACUGAAUGACUUAAAUGGAGUGUCUGCUGCUGGUUGGCUGCCUGGAUGCUGCUGCUGCUACUGUCAAUUUACUCUGGAACGAUUUCUACCUUGACAGUGGACGACCCUGCAGCAAUGGAGGAGCAUUCUUCUUCUGCUCACAGUCUUCAACAAAGGCCCCCUCCACCGCCAUUGUCAGCGAGAGCAGAGGACAAGGGCUUCAUGGCCAACCAAGGCGCAUAGUGCUCGCAAGCGACGAAUGGAGGUUGUUCGACAUAGACACGGAGGAGGAGGAGGACGGGCACGGACGGAGGAGGACAGAGCACCUCUCUUCUUCCAAGUUCUUCUCCUUACCUUCACUUCUUGUAUAGUUGUCUGUCAACGUCUUGGACUCUCUGACUGCUCCUCCUCUAGCCAAUGGUGAAGCGCCCGACGAGGCCAGCAGCAAGGCAACGCGGCGGGAUCGUUCUCCCAUGAUCGUCUGAGGCGCCUGCUCUGCUGCUCAAGCCGUAAUUGCAGUAUUGGCUCCAGUUUAUCUAAGUCGUGGAAGUAUUAGCCGUAAUUGCAGUAGAAAGCUAACAAAUAGUUUGAAAUUGUGAAUAAGAUGACAAUGUUGAUAUGGGAACUGCGUGUGGUAAAUACUUCCAAGUCUACUGCCUGAGUAUCAUCGACCCUGGCGAUUCCGACAUCAUCAACGCAACACCAGCUUGCAGUAAACCUGUGUAUGCCAUUUUUAGUGUAUCGUCUGAUGUGUCAUAUGAGGUGUUCUAGAGUGUAGUUCUUGCUGGACUUGAUUUGGUCUUGUGUACAUCAUUUAUCAGUCAAUCAAGUUUGAUGGGACUAUGGUUUUGGAUCAAAAGGUUUUGUUCUUGGCUUAACUAAUUGCUCUUUGUUGCGCUGCUGCCAACAAGCAUGGUUUUGCUGUGAUCAGCAGUUUUUUGUGUGUUGCUAUUUGACGUUGUUGUAGAGCUAUGUUUUUAUCAUGCUCUGGAUUUGAUGGAAAGAGUGGCCUCCAUGGAUUGAAAUGUUGGCUGUUAUGUAUUGAUUUUAGUAU